ACCGUGNAAAGGUAGCAUAAUCACUUGCCUUUUAAUUGGAGGCUUGUAUGAAUGGUUUGACGAGAGCUAAGCUGUCUCCUUUUUAAUAUUUAAAAAUUAACUUAUAAGUGAAGAGGCUUAUAUAUAUUUGAGGGACAAGAAGACCCUGUUGAGUUUGAGCGUAACCCGAGAUUAAGUAUUAUUUAGUUUUUAAUUAAAUUAAGGAUAAUAAAGUUGUAUAUAGUAGAGGCUAGGUUUUUGGUGAAUCUUUAGUUGGGGCGACUGAGGAACAUAGUAAGCUUCCUUGAAUGUAUUAUGACUAUCAAGUUAGUUUGAUCCAGUUUUUACUGAUUAAAGGAAAAAAUUACCACAGGGAUAACAGCGUAAUCUUUUUGGAGAGUUCUUAUCGAAGAAAGGGUUUGCGACCUCGAUGUUGGACUAAGGUAUCCCAAAGGUGUAGAAGCUUUUGAGGGUUGGUCUGUUCGACCAUUAAAACCUU
This 478-nucleotide ribosomal RNA is filed under the name Solariellidae clade C sp. 4 LS-2013. RNAcentral's name for it is "partial 16S ribosomal RNA". It matches the Rfam family "Bacterial large subunit ribosomal RNA", at positions 1945 to 2597 of the family's 2925-position model. The record is from RNAcentral. Lineage: Eukaryota; Metazoa; Mollusca; Gastropoda; Trochida; Solariellidae.